This 382-nucleotide ribosomal RNA is filed under the name uncultured eukaryote. RNAcentral describes it as "partial 18S ribosomal RNA". It matches the Rfam family "Eukaryotic small subunit ribosomal RNA", at positions 592 to 976 of the family's 1831-position model. The record is from RNAcentral.
UGUAAGCGUGUACCAAAGUUGUUGCAGUUAAAACGCUCGUAGUCGGAAUUUGGCAGUUCCGGAAGUGUGCACGUCGUGUGCGCACUUUGCGGGGACUGCUUUUGUGGUCUUGCGUAGGAUGAGGCACUUUCAUUAGUGAACGUCCUCACGCAACCACUCUUUACUGUGAGAAAAUCAGAGUGCUCAAAGCAGGCAUUUGCCGUGAAUGUAUUAGCAUGGAAUAAUAGAAUAGGACUCGGUUCUAUUUUGUUGGUUUGUUGGGACUGAGUAAUGAUUAAGAGGGACAGUUGGGGGCAUUUGUAUUCCGGCGCUAGAGGUGAAAUUCUUAGAUUGCCGGAAGACAAACUGCUGCGAAAGCGUCUGCCAAGGAUGUUUUCAUUGA